RNAcentral lists this ribosomal RNA (451 nucleotides) under Clostridioides difficile. Its description in RNAcentral is "bacterial LSU rRNA". It matches the Rfam family "Bacterial large subunit ribosomal RNA", at positions 647 to 1097 of the family's 2925-position model. Lineage: Bacteria; Bacillati; Bacillota; Clostridia; Peptostreptococcales; Peptostreptococcaceae. The record is from RNAcentral.
UAAGCACUUAAGGGGCGGAGCCGUAGCGAAAGCGAUGUUGAACUGGGCGUUAAGUUAGUGGACAUAUACCCGAAACCGUGCGAACGACCCAGGGGCAGGAGGAAGCGNAAGGAAAAUGUCUUGGAGGGCCGAACCCACGUGGGUGGAAAAGCUCGGGGAUGACUUGUGGGUAGCGGGGAAAUUCCAAUCGAGCCCGGAGAUAGCUGGGUCUCCCCGAAAUAGCUUUAGGGCUAGCCUCAAGGUGAGAGAGACGGAGGUAGAGCACUGAAUGUCCUAGGGGGUAUUGCACCUACCGAAGACUACCACACUCCGAAUGCCGUCAACGUAGACCUGGAAGUCAGACAGUGGGCGCUGAGACUCAUAGGUGAGAGGGCAGCACACCAGAGAGUCAGUUACGUUCUCUUACUGUUAUACACAUGGUAAGGUUUGGUGGAUUGCCCAGGCGAGCAGG